Molecule: transfer RNA, 17 nt
Filed under: Drosophila mojavensis
Lineage: Eukaryota; Metazoa; Arthropoda; Insecta; Diptera; Drosophilidae
Description: partial tRNA-Lys
Source: RNAcentral
CACAAGAUGACUGAAAG